UACGGAGGGGGCUAGCGUUGUUCGGAAUUACUGGGCGUAAAGCGCACGUAGGCGGCUUUGCAAGUUAGAGGUGAAAGCCCGGGGCUCAACUCCGGAAUUGCCUUUAAAACUGCAUCGCUAGAAUUGUGGAGAGGUAAGUGGAAUUCCGAGUGUAGAGGUGAAAUUCGUAGAUAUUCGGAAGAACACCAGUGGCGAAGGCGACUUACUGGACACAUAUUGACGCUGAGGCGCGAAAGCUAGGGGAGCAAACAGG
RNAcentral lists this ribosomal RNA (253 nucleotides) under uncultured bacterium. RNAcentral describes it as "partial 16S ribosomal RNA". It matches the Rfam family "Bacterial small subunit ribosomal RNA", at positions 524 to 776 of the family's 1533-position model. The record is from RNAcentral.